This 250-nucleotide long non-coding RNA is filed under the name Musa acuminata (dwarf banana). RNAcentral's name for it is "long non-coding RNA (MACU_LNC007790)". Lineage: Eukaryota; Viridiplantae; Streptophyta; Magnoliopsida; Zingiberales; Musaceae. The record is from RNAcentral.
CCUCUCCUCCUGCGCCUAUCUUUCUUAUAGAAUGACUUUUGAACUCACUACUACUGUUGCUACUCUCUUAUUACCCCAACUCGCCAACUAAAGGCUCUUCUCUUGCUCAUCCACUGCUCAUGGCGGUAGGAGCUCAACUGUUAUGAAAUAGUGCAUUUCUUCCUAACAUCUUGCUGGCCUAAACUAUCAUAUCUUCUGGUACACGACUUGACUUAUUCUUUACCCGCUUACUUACUUGGUUACUGGAUUG